AUGACUUUCUGCUCCUCUACAGCGGCCGCGGGCGCCGCGUCGUGCAGCGCAACCACGACCAUCCGGAGUUCGAGGCAAUGUUUUGGUAUGCCGCCCUGUCAGAAUCCGGGGACGAAGUCUGCCUCCACCACUUCCACGGCGGCAGCCUCCGCGCCAACACGACGUACCCGUACCUCCGCUGGACCAACAGCAUCAGCGUCGACGACACCGGAAAUGUCACCACGAUGA
This 228-nucleotide ribosomal RNA is filed under the name Triticum aestivum (bread wheat). RNAcentral describes it as "partial small subunit ribosomal RNA". The record is from RNAcentral. Lineage: Eukaryota; Viridiplantae; Streptophyta; Magnoliopsida; Poales; Poaceae.